GCAGUUACACAUGCUUUCGCAUAAUAGACAUUUUCGUCUUGAAUAUCGAACAUCAGGCGUCGGGAAUUUAUAACAUUUUAUUUGAAAUUAAAAGAUCAAUGUAUGCAUCUUAACGUGUUCAGUACUUUCGUUAUGCCCAACGAAGCUGCGUGGGCUCAGACGAUUCAUUCGUGCCUCCCAAACUACUCAAGUCGUGUAGCGAAAGUAGAGUAGAGUUGAUGGCACUACUCACAAAUGUAUGGACGCAACGAAUGGUUACUCUCGAAAAACUAAUGAGUCUUGCUAAUACAACAUUCAGUCUUUAAAUUUUUUUUUUUAGCCGCGCGACUGAGUCGUGUAUCGUAAAGUAACUAUUAGUUACGGAAUCUCUCCGCGCAUUAGAGAGAAGAAACGAUAACAUCCACACUUCAUUCUUUUUUCGGCGCGCCAGUUAUUGUGAGGCAUACGCAAUUAGCAAUAUAGGUGUAUUACAUAUAUGGUAACUUCAGGCUUUAGACACUAAGUUAAAGAAAUAUUGCGUGAGGUGAGUGCAAUACCAAGCAGUCAAUUUUUGGGAACCUACUUAUUAACGUUUUUGUCAAUUUUUAACAAAAAUUGAAUAUUACCAGUAUAUUUAGUGUCAAGUGUUGAGUGAAGGUAUAUAAAUAUCGGUAUAUAAGCUAUUAUGUAUUCAUUUAUUUCCCAAAGUUUGAAUUUUCUCGGAAUGUGCCAAUAAACUUCUAUUUCUAAUUAUUCUUCCAUAUUAUAUUUAGAGGCAUGUGCCAUCUUGCGCGUCAGCUGUCACGCCAUUCUUGCAUGUCGAUAUCGUGAUAGAAAAAACUUAACUAAAAAAUUUUGACGCAAUCGAUAGAAACAAAAGUCAACCACAUUCCAAACACGUUUACCAACUCUAGCUGCAUAUAUGAAGUACAAAGAAUUUUUCCUUCCCUCUGGCCUUACUCUUCUUUCGUGAAAAAGUAUUCUUAUAGAACUUAGCAGAGGUCAGGUAGCCAGUGCUGAGCAAACUCAGCAUUUAGUAAUGCGGCGAAUGAGUCGAGUGACAAGCGUGGCUGUCACUAAACGUUAGAGAUAUUUGUCAACACACGCUAGUGAAAAUUAACACUAGAGAUUUUUCUCAAUUGAAAGUCAGUGCAUUGACAACUGUGCCUCGUGCCAAUCAAAAAGUUUUAUUUUGACACUAAGCACUCGUGCCAAAAGCAGUGGCAGCUCUUGUCGCGGUCGCUCCGCGUAUUCAGAAGUCCUUCCGAGGUCGCCACGUCUCAGGCGAAACCUUGAAACCCAGCCUUGUCAGCAGCAGCACGUUUUGAGGUGUUAUGCCUUUGCCAGCCUGUUGUCGGCUGAUGCCGAAAAAUCCCGAUUAUCGUAAAGACUUGAUUUGUAGUCUGAGUGUUAUAAUUUCCCCACGAAAAUUAACCAAAUGCCCGCCUGGAUCAACUACAUGGAGCUGUAUAUGAUCUAUUGUCUUGAUGG
Long non-coding RNA from Belonocnema kinseyi, 1470 nucleotides. RefSeq lists it as uncharacterized. Lineage: Eukaryota; Metazoa; Arthropoda; Insecta; Hymenoptera; Cynipidae. The transcript is spliced from 3 exons. The record is from RefSeq and is a predicted model, not a curated record.